This 253-nucleotide ribosomal RNA is filed under the name uncultured bacterium. RNAcentral describes it as "partial 16S ribosomal RNA". It matches the Rfam family "Bacterial small subunit ribosomal RNA", at positions 524 to 776 of the family's 1533-position model. The record is from RNAcentral.
UACGAAGGGGGCUAGCGUUGCUCGGAAUCACUGGGCGUAAAGGGUGCGUAGGCGGGUUUUUAAGUCAGAGGUAAAAUCCUGGAGCUCAACUCCAGAACUGCCUUUGAUACUGAAGAUCUUGAGUUCGGGAGAGGUGAGUGGAACUGCGAGUGUAGAGGUGAAAUUCGUAGAUAUUCGCAAGAACACCAGUGGCGAAGGCGGCUCACUGGCCCGAUACUGACGCUGAGGCACGAAAGCGUGGGGAGCAAACGGG